RNAcentral lists this small RNA (28 nucleotides) under Bombyx mori (domestic silkworm). RNAcentral's name for it is "ovarian small RNA-18341". The record is from RNAcentral. Lineage: Eukaryota; Metazoa; Arthropoda; Insecta; Lepidoptera; Bombycidae.
UAAAGCUCUGUGCGAGAGUUAGGAACCC